GACGUAGGGGGCCAGCGUUGUUCGGAUUUACUGGGCGUAGAGGGCGCGUAGGCGGCUUAACAAGUCACUUGUGAAAUCUCCGGGCUUAACUCGGAACGGCCAAGUGAAACUGUCAAGCUAGAGUGCGGAAGGGGCAAUCGGAAUUCUUGGUGUAGCGGUGAAAUGCGUAGAUAUCAAGAGGAACACCUGCGGCGAAGGCGGGUUGCUGGGCCGACACUGACGCUGAAGCGCGAAAGCGUGGGGAGCAAACAGG
RNAcentral lists this ribosomal RNA (253 nucleotides) under uncultured prokaryote. RNAcentral describes it as "partial 16S ribosomal RNA". It matches the Rfam family "Bacterial small subunit ribosomal RNA", at positions 524 to 776 of the family's 1533-position model. The record is from RNAcentral.